Molecule: ribosomal RNA, 460 nt
Filed under: uncultured soil bacterium
Lineage: Bacteria
Description: bacterial SSU rRNA
Rfam family: Bacterial small subunit ribosomal RNA
Source: RNAcentral
AGAUUGAACGCUGGCGGCAGGCCUAACACAUGCAAGUCGAGCGGUAGAGAGAAGCUUGCUUCUCUUGAGAGCGGCGGACGGGUGAGUAAUGCCUAGGAAUCUGCCUGGUAGUGGGGGAUAACGUUCGGAAACGAACGCUAAUACCGCAUACGUCCUACGGGAGAAAGCAGGGGACCUUCGGGCCUUGCGCUAUCAGAUGAGCCUAGGUCGGAUUAGCUUAGGUUGGUGAGGUAAUGGCUCACCAAGGCGACGAUCCGUAACUGGUCUGAGAGGAUGAUCAGUCACACUGGAACUGAGACACGGUCAGACUCCUACGGGAGGCAGCAGUGGGAAUAUUGGACAGUGGGCGAAAGCCUGAUCCAGCCAUGCCGCGUGUGUGAAGAGUCUUCGGAUUGAAGCAACUUUAAGGUUGGAAGGAAGGGCUAAUUAACCUAUUAACGUUGUUGUUUGACGUUACGAC